AGGGUGGAAUUUCCUGGGUGUAAGGUGAAAUUCCGUAGAGAUCUGGAGGAAUACCGGUGGCGAAGGCGGCCCCCUGGACAAAACUGACCUCAAGUGCGAAAGCGUGGGGAGCAAACAGGAUUAAUACCUGGUAGUCCAGCUGUAACGAUGUGGACUUGGAGGUGGGUUCCUUGAGGGUGGCUUCGGAGCUAAAGCCUUUGUCACCCCCCGGGGAGUACGGCCGCAAGGUUAAAAAUCAAAUGGAUUUACCGGGGCCCCCCCAAACGGGGGAAAAUGGGGGUUAAAUCCAAUCAACCCGGAAAAACUUACCCAGGCUUUACCACCAAAGAGAUCGCUAGAGAUAUCUUGGCGCCCUCGGGGACUCUGAGACAGGGGCGGCAUGGUUGUCGUCACCUCGUGUUGGGGAAUGUUGGGUUAGUUCCCGCACCAAACGCAACCCUAAUCCUUUGUUGCCAACCCUUAAGGGGGGGAAUUCAAAGAAAACUGCCGGUGACAAACCGGAGAAGGGGGGGAUGAUGUAAUUCUUCAUGGCCCUUUGUAGUGGGGCUACACCGUGCUACAAUGGCGUUAUACAAAGGGUGAGGAAACCCCACGAGAGAAACCAAACCCUCAUAAAGUACG
Molecule: ribosomal RNA, 621 nt
Filed under: Serratia sp. (in: enterobacteria)
Lineage: Bacteria; Pseudomonadati; Pseudomonadota; Gammaproteobacteria; Enterobacterales; Yersiniaceae
Description: Serratia sp. partial 16S ribosomal RNA
Rfam family: Bacterial small subunit ribosomal RNA
Source: RNAcentral